UGAGUAACGCGUGGGUAACCUGCCCUUAAGUCUGGGAUACCAUUUGGAAACAGAUGCUAAUACCGGAUAAAAGCUACUUUAGCAUGAAAGAAGUUUAAAAGGCGGCGUAAGCUGUCGCUAAAGGAUGGACCUGCGAUGCAUUAGCUAGUUGGUAAGGUAACGGCUUACCAAGGCGAUGAUGCAUAGCCGAGUUGAGAGACUGAUCGGCCACAUUGGGACUGAGACACGGCCCAAACUCCUACGGGAGGCAGCAGAA
RNAcentral lists this ribosomal RNA (256 nucleotides) under uncultured Lactobacillus sp. RNAcentral's name for it is "partial 16S ribosomal RNA". It matches the Rfam family "Bacterial small subunit ribosomal RNA", at positions 107 to 354 of the family's 1533-position model. Lineage: Bacteria; Bacillati; Bacillota; Bacilli; Lactobacillales; Lactobacillaceae. The record is from RNAcentral.